GACGAACGCUGGCGGCGUGCUUAACACAUGCAAGUCGAACGAUGAAGCUAGAGCUUGCUCUGGUGAAUUAGUGGCGAACGGGUGAGUAACACGUGAGUAACCUGCCCCGAACUCUGGGAUAACUGCUGGAAACGGUAGCUAAUACUGGAUACGACCUACGAAGGCAUCUUCUGUAGGUGGAAAGAAUUUCGGUUCGGGAUGGACUCGCGGCCUAUCAGGUUGUGGGUGAGGUAAUGGCUCACCAAGGCGACGACGGGUAGCCGGCCUGAGAGGGUAACCGGCCACACUGGGACUGAGACACGGCCCAGACUCCUACGGGAGGCAGCAGUGGGGAAUAUUGCACAAUGGGCGCAAGACUGAUGCAGCAACGCCGCGUGAGGGAUGACGGCCUUCGGGUUGUAAACCUCUUUUAGUAGGGAAGAAGCGAAAGUGACGGUACCUGCAGAAAAAGCACCGGCUAACUACGUGCCAGCAGCCGCGGUAA
Molecule: ribosomal RNA, 484 nt
Filed under: uncultured bacterium
Lineage: Bacteria
Description: partial 16S ribosomal RNA
Rfam family: Bacterial small subunit ribosomal RNA
Source: RNAcentral